This is a long non-coding RNA of Diorhabda carinulata, 4188 nucleotides long. RefSeq lists it as uncharacterized. Lineage: Eukaryota; Metazoa; Arthropoda; Insecta; Coleoptera; Chrysomelidae. The transcript has 2 exons. The record is from RefSeq and is a predicted model, not a curated record.
AGAUGGCUGUUGUGAAAAGUCUUGCUGUAUAGACUACUCUGUAAACAUUCCCACCAAAAAGUCAGUCCAUGGGACUAGCUCCCCAGUUAGCUCAAGACCAGCAGUGAAAGUGUUUGUUUCAACUGUGUUCUUGAUGGUAAGUAUACUAUAUUUAUUUUCUAUUUUAAUCAUUUUAUAUUUUUUUGUUUCAGCUUUUCAUUUCCUCGGUGAAAUUCCAAAGAGUAGGCAGAUUGAGGCCUUGGAAUUUCACCGACGUAAGUCCCCUUCCUCUAUGGAUUCUGUUGUUUGAUUUCUGGACUUUCACCUUUUAUCUACAGUCAGCUGUUACUGCUCAUUUUUGUCUAUUGUUAUUAUAACCUCCAAAAUAUUUAAGUGAAUGUUACAGUCUUUGUAGUCUUACUUUACAGUUUUAAUAGUUUAGUAUUUGUAGGUGACAGGCUAAUGGUUGAGAAUAUCGUAUUUGGGAGCCCAAGAAAAAGAAAGGGCCAAAACCCCUAACGUUACAAAGUAAAUAUAGUAAAAAAUGUCAGACUCAGCGAGCAGCUCUAUAUCAAUCCCAGAGGGCAGGAAGAUCUAGCAAAAAAACUUUUAGAUUUCAAGAAAUGGUAAAAUAAGUUUUACAAAAAAUUGUGUAUAUCACAAGAAACAAAAAGGAAAAAACACAGAUAAGAAGGAUAAAAUGUACUUUCAGAUUAGUACUCUCUUCAUGUUCGUUUAUGAAUCUAAGUUAAAAGGAUGGGUUAAAGCCUAUCCUACAAUAAAUGGUAUUAUUUAUCAGAACUUUUUACUGGUUAAGACAAAAGCAGAUACUCUCUCCUCACCUUCUGUUAAGGCUUACCAAAGUCGAGUGCCAGAAAAACUACAAAGAUGGAAGAUAUUAAAAAACUGAGAGUCUACAUUUCAGACGAGCAUCAGGUAUUUUUCGAAGAAAUUUGUGACUCAAGAGGUUAUCAGCGAUUUCGAGGUUGAAGAAACCAACAAUCACCCAUAAAUCAGAAAUUUGGCCUCAAAUCUACAUCUUUCAUUUUAAACUGAUUUAAGUAAUUUUACUAUAUUUUUAAUAAAUUGUAAACAUUGUUUUACAAUAAAAAUAACAGUUUUUACAUGAAAGUUAAUGGUUUUGUAUUAAUUAACUUAAUUUUUUUUUAAAGGGCGGUAGAUUCAUAUUUUUAGAGCUAUAUAACUAAAUUAUGGAUAAGAUACAAAUUUAAAAUUUUGCAUCCUGUUGUAAAUUGAAUUUCUUUUCGUGUCGACAUUUUUUAAAUAAUAUUUUAAGUGAAAUAUUUUGAUUUAAACAGUUUUUUCUAGUUUCCCGAAAGUUUACUUUCUUGGACUUACAUUUAAAAAAAAAACGAUUCAAAUACCAUUUAUACGCUGCAUAAAUUAGAUAAAUUGCUUCUUUUUUAUUUACAUGGUUUUGAAAUAACUAGAAACGCAUACGGCGUGACGCUGUCCACGGUCGACGGGGUUUGAAGGAGACCAUAGCCUUAAAUAGACAUGUUACUGCUUGAAUUUCAAUAUCUUCUGACGAUUCUUGUAAAAUGAGCAUUGUUAUUUAUUUUUUGGACAGCGAGGCUCUUCAAAAUAAAUUGUAUUUCAUGACUUUUUAUAUUUUAAAUGAAGCAAUUUUCGGGAUUUUGGAAUUCACAUCAUAUUGUAUUAGAAAGAAUUUGUAAUGAAACUAUACAAAUUUGUAGUAUUUUAUUAAGAAACUGUCCUUAAUAUAACUAAUAUAAUUAUGUUUUGAUAUUUUCUCCAUUUAUAAUUCCACCUCAUUUUUGUACCAUUCUAAAAACUUUGACCUUCUGGUUACAGCAAGUUUUUUUUUGUCUAAAUUUGUCCCUUUUCAUAUGAAUCUAUCGAUUAAUGAGAUUGUGCUAUAUCUGAAAAGAACGUUAAUAUGUCGUCUAUGGUAAAUUCCAAACUUAUCAUCGAUCCUGGAUAACAUUGAUGUAUUAAAUCUUCCAAUGUUUUAUAUUGUCUUAUGAAUUCCCCUUGCAUCGCUCUCCAAACUACCUGUAAUAAAUUCUCUUCUUCUGAUAAAUGUUUUUCGACUUUUUUAUAAAGUGCCUCCAAACCUUUUUUAACCUAAAACAUAUCCCAAUAAACUUUCAUGAAAACUAGUCAAAUUCAUGAUUAUCUUUCAAAAAUAUAUUUUAAAAAUGUUGCCUUGGUAUCAGUAUAUAAAAGAUUUAUAUUUGGGUACAUUUGACAGCAGUGUUUUCUAACAAAUUGUUCGUUUUGGUACCAAGAUGUGGGCCCAAUGGGUUGUCCUAAUAAUUGGUUUUCUUCCUAUCUACCUUCUUUUCCAGUGCUUUUUCCAUUGUUCUGUAGCUGAUAUCACAGAAGGGUUCCAGCUUGUCUGCUAAUUUUAUUUUUCUUGCCUAGCUCGUUUAAUUUUUCUAGGCAAUCCCAAACGAGUUUGGAUUUUAUGAUAUUGAAGCUUAAAGUUCUAAUAGCUGCUUGACUAUCGGAUACAUUUUUCGAUUUCUGCAUGGAAAAUGCUUGGUGCGCUGCCCAGACUUUCAGAGUGUUUGGUUCUGGGCCCGUAGACUCCUAUUCUAGCUCUGUCUGCUGUUUUUAAUUCAUCUAUAUACUAUUUAAUGGCAUUUUCAUCCCACUUGCUUUUACACUUUAUUAUUGACGUGAAGUUUUUCUUAAAGCUAAACUUUUUCGAUGCAACGUCCUGAGGCAUGUCUCAGGGUUGGUUAUUAUUUAGGAACGGGUUUUCUUUAAUGACUCUGUCUCUGAACAUUUUAAGUUUUCUCUACCACAGUUUCCAGUACUAUAUGGAGAGGUGGGAGAUUUAGAAUCAUUUCUGAUGCAGCAAGAUUUCAUGGCCCCAGUUGAACAUAAGCAAGUCAGUCUUUGUACCUUUGAGAAAUUGUUUCUCGUAGUAUUCAGACUAGUUCUAGUACCUCUUCUUUCCCAGUGCUUUUUCCAUUUUCCUGUAGCCGAUACCACAGAAGGGUUCGGGUCCCAUGAAUGGCUUGUCUGCCCCCGCUUUAGCGAGCUUAAAAGCUAUGACAUUUCCCUUCGCUUCGGUGUGUCCCAGUAUCCAUUUUUUUGUUGACUGGCUUGUGAUCUGGUCUAAUAUAUGUUAUCUAUACCAAAAUAUGUUUUAUGUUUUAAUUACAGAAAUAGAAAGUAUUACAGAUGGUAUUGACUGAAAAAUAACGAGAACUUUAAAUGAAAGCAGCUUAAAAUGCUGCGAAAACCAUUAUUGUUUUAUGUUGAUAAUUGUCACACUUGUAUUUCCUAUUUUUUAUAAUUGUUUAUAAUUGUCUGUUGCGUUAUUUUCUUAAACAUGUCUGACACGAAGACAAAUGAUGAAGUUGUUGACAUUAGCUGUAUUCUCUCUCAACUAAAAAGCUUCAUUUUAACGUUAGCGAAAAAGAUGACAAGAAUGUUGAUGACGUUAUUUCAAAAAUGGCAAAUAUUUUGGGAGUGUCUACCGAAUCGUAUGUGAGUACAGAGUUAAUUAUUCAGUAGUCGACUCAAAAAAGUAUCCAUCAAGAAAAAAACUAACAAUUCCUUUGAUGAUUUUUUUCUUUUCCAAUAAGGAUUUUACAAUAUCAACAUUUUAUUAUUUAUUGAAAGAAAUGGAAUUUCAAUAUCAAAAAAGCGAGGAAGGACCAAUUUAUUAUUAGGAAAAGCAAAAAUUAUUGUGUGGGGAAUACAUUAGAAAACCUGAGAAAUUUCGUGAAGAAAAUAGAAAAAUUUACUGUCUGGAUGAAACCUGGGUAAACGCUGGACAUACUAAGGAUAAGGUUAAUAAUUGUGCAUAAUUAUUUUUAAUUUAUAUUAUUAACUAUGUUUUGAUUUAUUUUUUUUUAUAAAUAGACUUUAGAUGAAAAGUAAUGACGUACUUGAGAGCCUGGGUAUUGGUUAAUAACCUUUCGUAACUCUUGUUUACUAAACGCUAAUUGAUAACUGACUUCUGAAGCUUUGAUACCACUUGCCACUCUAGCUUGAACGCCUUCAAAGAAAGUCUGUAAUAUAAAUGAAUUUCGGUUACUAAAAUUGAUUAGAUUCUAAAAAAAGAAAAACUUACAUUUAACUUUUCCAAAGGUCUACCGAAAUACAAAGUUACGUACGCCGUAAGUGCAUCAUUAUAUUUCUGUUUGGCUUCUUUACGUUGAUUAUCUAACACUGAUAUUUUUAAUUGGGACAAUAAAGAGUAUAAGU